CCUACGGGUGGCAGCAGUGGGGAAUAUUGGGCAAUGGGCGCAAGCCUGACCCAGCAACGCCGCGUGAAGGAAGAAGGCUUUCGGGUUGUAAACUUCUUUUCGCAGGGACGAAGCAAGUGACGGUACCUGAGGAAUAAGCCACGGCUAACUACGUGCCAGCAGCCGCGGUAAUUCGUAGGUGGCAAGCGUUAUCCGGAUUUACUGGGUGUAAAGGGCGUGUAGGCGGGGACGCAAGUCAGAUGUGAAAACCACGGGCUCAACCUGGGGCCUGCAUUUGAAACUGUGUUUCUUGAGUGCUGGAGAGGCAGACGGAAUUCCUGGUGUAGCGGUGAAAUGCGUAGAUACUAGGAGGAACACCAGUGGCGAAGGCGGUCUGCUGGACGGCAACUGACGCUGAGGCGCGAAAGCGUGGGGAGCAAACAGGAUUAGAUACCCGUGUAGUC
Molecule: ribosomal RNA, 443 nt
Filed under: uncultured bacterium
Lineage: Bacteria
Description: partial 16S ribosomal RNA
Rfam family: Bacterial small subunit ribosomal RNA
Source: RNAcentral